RNAcentral lists this ribosomal RNA (579 nucleotides) under uncultured bacterium. Its description in RNAcentral is "bacterial SSU rRNA". It matches the Rfam family "Bacterial small subunit ribosomal RNA", at positions 338 to 916 of the family's 1533-position model. The record is from RNAcentral.
CCUACGGGAGGCAGCAGUAAGGAAUAUUGGUCAAUGGACGAAAGUCUGAACCAGCCAUGCCGCGUGAAGGAUGAAGGCCCUCUGGGUUGUAAACUUCUUUUAUCUGGGACGAAAAAAGCUCAUUCUUGAGCACUUGACGGUACCAGAGGAAUAAGCACCGGCUAACUCCGUGCCAGCAGCCGCGGUAAUACGGAGGGUGCAAGCGUUAUCCGGAUUCACUGGGUUUAAAGGGUGCGUAGGUGGGUCUGAAAGUCAGUGGUGAAAUCUCCGAGCUUAACUCGGAAACUGCCAUUGAUACUAUAGGUCUUGAAUCAUCUGGAGGUAAGCGGAAUAUGUCAUGUAGCGGUGAAAUGCUUAGAUAUGACAUAGAACACCAAUUGCGAAGGCAGCUUACUACGGGUGCAUUGACACUGAGGCACGAAAGCGUGGGGAUCAAACAGGAUUAGAUACCCUGGUAGUCCACGCCCUAAACGAUGGAUACUCGACAUCAGCGAUACACUGUUGGUGUCUGAGCGAAAGCAUUAAGUAUCCCACCUGGGAAGUACGACCGCAAGGUUGAAACUCAAAUGAAAUUGACGG